This 88-nucleotide transfer RNA is filed under the name Hippoglossus stenolepis (Pacific halibut). Its description in RNAcentral is "tRNA-Tyr". It matches the Rfam family "tRNA". Rfam says of the family: Transfer RNA (tRNA) molecules are approximately 80 nucleotides in length. Their secondary structure includes four short double-helical elements and three loops (D, anti-codon, and T loops). Further hydrogen bonds mediate the characteristic L-shaped molecular structure. tRNAs have two regions of fundamental functional importance: the anti-codon, which is responsible for specific mRNA codon recognition, and the 3' end, to which the tRNAs corresponding amino acid is attached (by aminoacyl-tRNA synthetases). tRNAs cope with the degeneracy of the genetic code in two manners: having more than one tRNA (with a specific anti-codon) for a particular amino acid; and 'wobble' base-pairing, i.e. permitting non-standard base-pairing at the 3rd anti-codon position. The record is from RNAcentral. Lineage: Eukaryota; Metazoa; Chordata; Actinopteri; Pleuronectiformes; Pleuronectidae.
CCUUCGAUAGCUCAGUUGGUAGAGCGGAGGACUGUAGGUUAUGACGUCAGACAUCCUUAGGUCGCUGGUUCGAAUCCGGCUCGAAGGA